This 460-nucleotide ribosomal RNA is filed under the name uncultured bacterium. Its description in RNAcentral is "partial 16S ribosomal RNA". It matches the Rfam family "Bacterial small subunit ribosomal RNA", at positions 338 to 795 of the family's 1533-position model. The record is from RNAcentral.
CCUACGGGAGGCAGCAGUGAGGAAUAUUGGUCAAUGGACGAGAGUCUGAACCAGCCAAGUAGCGUGAAGGAUGACUGCCCUAUGGGUUGUAAACUUCUUUUAUAUGGGAAUAAAAUGUUCCACGUGUGGGAUUUUGUAUGUACCAUAUGAAUAAGGAUCGGCUAACUCCGUGCCAGCAGCCGCGGUAAUACGGAGGAUCCGAGCGUUAUCCGGAUUUAUUGGGUUUAAAGGGGGCGUAGGUGGAUUGUUAAGUCAGUUGUGAAAGUUUGGGGCUCAACCGUAAAAUUGCAGUUGAAACUGGCAGUCUUGAGUACGGUAGAGGUGGGCGGAAUGCGUGGUGUAGCGGUGAAAUGCUUAGAUAUCACGCAGAACUCCGAUUGCGAAGGCAGUUCACUGGACUGAAACUGACGCUGAGGCUCGAAAGUGUGGGUAUCAAACAGGAUUAGAUACCCUAGUAGUC